ACUAGCCCAGUAAGAACAUCACGAUAUCUCACCGUCACGGAGGUAAAGGUGGGUAGAAAACACAAAAAGACCAAUGGAGCAUAAUUUACAACAAACUCGUUUAUUAACAUGAAAACCUUUACCAUCCACUUACCUCGGUGGAAUUUAUGAAAACAAUAUAAGAAAAACAAUAACAUUAUCAUAAUCAUUGAAUAAUAUAAGCUGUAAAACAUAACACUUAUCACGCCUCUUGUAAUUCAAUCAUUAUAC
Molecule: long non-coding RNA, 249 nt
Filed under: Carica papaya (papaya)
Lineage: Eukaryota; Viridiplantae; Streptophyta; Magnoliopsida; Brassicales; Caricaceae
Description: long non-coding RNA (CPAP_LNC014863)
Source: RNAcentral